This 630-nucleotide unclassified non-coding RNA is filed under the name Hevea brasiliensis (rubber tree). Lineage: Eukaryota; Viridiplantae; Streptophyta; Magnoliopsida; Malpighiales; Euphorbiaceae. The record is from RNAcentral.
AAAUAAUAUGAGGUAGGUCCUCUUAAUAACAUAAAUGCAUAAGUAGGAAAAGGACAUGAAGUCUGCGAAUGGAAUUUUUGACAAGCAUUGAAUUCUUAGCUUGGGCUGCGCAUAGCGUGGGCCCACUUUUUGGAAAUGAAUUAUUUUACGAAGACUUAGCAUAUUGAGCAUCUUUAUUCUCACAUUUUAGCCCACACGGCAUAGUCCUUUCCAGAGGAAACAACCUGGAAAUUUGAGGGAAUGAGGGUUCCAAGAUCGGUCUUCGGCCCAAUCUUCAUAAUGAUAUUGUCGUUAAUUGCCGCGACGUAGAGAUCAGAAUCAGAGGCCAAAAUAUUAACAGAGCUUGUUGAAUCAAUCCCGUAGUUCUUUCUUAUUGUGGCCAAUUUACUGAUCUCUUCCUUCAGUCCCCAGUCAAAGAAGUGAUCAUAAAAUAUGGAAGGAACUCCAGGAUGAGUGAGUAUGUAAGCGUAUCCCAGCAUGACUUUAUCAGAUGGGAAUGGCCAAAGGUGUUGAGUAGAUCCAGUGUCGUGAUUAUCGAUGAAGGUCACUGCAUUUUGUGGGGAUAGUCCAAUCAAUCCUGGAGGCUUUCCAUUUGAGUCUUUCAACCUCCACAAUUCUCCUUGCACAGCA